GAGUUUGAUCCUGGCUCAGGACGAACGCUGGCGGCGUGCUUAACACAUGCAAGUCGAACGAAGCAACUAAGAGUGCUUGCACAAAUAGUUGACUGAGUGGCGGACGGGUGAGUAACGCGUGAGCGACCUACCUUAAAGAGGGGGACAACAGUUGGAAACGACUGCUAAUACCGCAUAAGACCACAAUGCUGCAUGGCAAAGGGGUCAAAGGAGCAAUCCGCUUUAAGAUGGGCUCGCGUCCCAUUAGGUAGUUGGUGAGGUAACGGCUCACCAAGCCGACGAUGGGUAGCCGACCUGAGAGGGUGAUCGGCCACACUGGAACUGAGACACGGUCCAGACUCCUACGGGAGGCAGCAGUGGGGAAUAUUGGGCAAUGGGCGAAAGCCUGACCCAGCAACGCCGCGUGAAGGAAGAAGGUCUUCGGAUUGUAAACUUCUGUCCUAU
RNAcentral lists this ribosomal RNA (444 nucleotides) under uncultured bacterium. Its description in RNAcentral is "bacterial SSU rRNA". It matches the Rfam family "Bacterial small subunit ribosomal RNA", at positions 9 to 441 of the family's 1533-position model. The record is from RNAcentral.